UACGUAGGGCGCAAGCGUUGUCCGGAAUUAUUGGGCGUAAAGCGCGCGUAGGCGGCUACCUAAGUCGGAUGUGAAAGCCCCUGGCUUAACUGGGGAAGUGCACCCGAAACUGAGUAGCUAGAGUGCAAAAGAGGGUCGCGGAAUUCCCGGUGUAGAGGUGAAAUUCGUAGAUAUCGGGAGGAACACCGGUGGCGAAGGCGGCGACCUGGGUUGACACUGACGCUGAGGCACGAAAGCUAGGGGAGCAAACAGG
This 253-nucleotide ribosomal RNA is filed under the name uncultured bacterium. Its description in RNAcentral is "partial 16S ribosomal RNA". It matches the Rfam family "Bacterial small subunit ribosomal RNA", at positions 524 to 776 of the family's 1533-position model. The record is from RNAcentral.